Molecule: ribosomal RNA, 253 nt
Filed under: uncultured bacterium
Lineage: Bacteria
Description: partial 16S ribosomal RNA
Rfam family: Bacterial small subunit ribosomal RNA
Source: RNAcentral
UACAGAGGUCUCAACCGUUGUUCGGAUUCAUUGGGCGUAAAGGGUGCGUAGGCGGUCGCGUAAGUCAGGUGUGAAAUCCCGGGGCUCAACCCCGGAACUGCAUUUGAUACUGCGUGGCUUGGGUACUGGAGAGGAGACUGGAAUUUACGGUGUAGCAGUGAAAUGCGUAGAUAUCGUAAGGAAGACCAGUGGCGAAGGCGAGUCUCUGGACAGUUACCGACGCUGAGGCACGAAGGUCAGGGGAGCAAACGGG